GCUCACAAUGACAAUGCUAACAUGCUAAUGUUAAGCAGGUAUAAUAGUUACCAUGUUCGCCAUCUUUGUUCAGCGUCUCAGCAUGCUAACAUUUGAUAAUUAGCACCAAACACACAAAAGACAAUUGA
Long non-coding RNA from Sander lucioperca (pikeperch), 128 nucleotides. RefSeq lists it as uncharacterized. The transcript is spliced from 3 exons. Lineage: Eukaryota; Metazoa; Chordata; Actinopteri; Perciformes; Percidae. The record is from RefSeq and is a predicted model, not a curated record.